GAGUGGGGAGGAGAGAGGGACAGAGAGCCUGCUUCUUUAAAGGAGCAAAGCGGGAGAGGAGAGGAGCCACUUACACGAGUGUAAGCGGCUCCUGUCCAGUUGGUUUCUUUAAAGCAAGCAGGCUCUCUGUCUCUCUCUCCUCCCCACUC
RNAcentral lists this microRNA precursor (149 nucleotides) under Podarcis lilfordi (Lilford's wall lizard). Lineage: Eukaryota; Metazoa; Chordata; Lepidosauria; Squamata; Lacertidae. The record is from RNAcentral.